This is a long non-coding RNA of Mus musculus (house mouse), 668 nucleotides long. RefSeq annotates it as predicted gene, 42405. The transcript is spliced from 3 exons. The record is from RefSeq and is a predicted model, not a curated record. Lineage: Eukaryota; Metazoa; Chordata; Mammalia; Rodentia; Muridae.
UGAGAAGUAUGCUUUCAGCUGCAACAAUUUUUACAUCAAAGAUCCAUCCUGCCAUCAGAGAAGAAGAUUCUGUACAUAGUUAUUCAUGCCCUCUUAAAUAUUUUGAUGGCCUUGCUACUUCCUGACAUCAAACAAGGUGGUAUAUACCAGUUCUAAGCUGCCACUGGCAACCAGGUCCUGAGGAAUUCUUACUGCCUCUUUGGAACAGUCAAAGAGUCGAUUGUAAAGUUCAUGAUCACUAUUGCUGCCUAAUGUCAUAAUGAGGUAAGUGCUGUGUGCUGCUACUGGAGAUACUUUCGAAACCUGGAAUGGUAUUUGAAACCUGAAACUAUGUUGAUUUGGGUAAUGAAUGGUUUGACCAGCAAUCAUGAUGGAUUCCAUUGUUUCUAUUACUGAAGGUGAUGGAGACCAUGAUCAUAAGGAUGAUCUCUGCUGCUGUUUAAGAACUUGUGGGUAAUAUCCUUGCUGCUGCAAGAAGAUAUUUGAUGUAAUUGAUCCCUCCUGCCACCAGAGAAAAGAUUUAUGUCCAUAAUUGAAUCUUUUCAAUAUCAGUGAUACACUUGUCAGCAGAUACCAUACUAUAUCUACAGUUCUUACCCCCAAUAGCAAACAUCAUAUUAGAGAUUUGUGCUGCCACUUUGGACCAUGAUGAUAUCAGUGAUUCCCAA